GAUGAACGCUCGCUACAGGCUUAACACAUGCAAGUCGCGGGGCAGCAUGGGGGUUGCUUGCAAUCCCCGAUGGCGACCGGCGCACGGGUGAGUAACGCGUAUCCAACCUGCCCUUCACCACGGGAUAACCCGGCGAAAGUCGGACUAAUACCGUAUGUUGUCCAUUGAUGGCAUCCGAUUUGGACGAAAGGUUUGGCGGUGAAGGAUGGGGAUGCGUCCGAUUAGCUGGACGGCGGGGUGACGGCCCACCGUGGCGACGAUCGGUAGGGGUUCUGAGAGGAAGGUCCCCCACACUGGAACUGAGGCACGGUCCAGACUCCUACGGGAGGCAGCAGUGAGGAAUAUUGGUCAAUGGGCGUAAGCCUGAACCAGCCAAGUAGCGUGCAGGAUGACGGCCCUAUGGGUUGUAAACUGCUUUUAUGCGGGGAUAAAGUGGCCCACGUGUGGGUUUUUGCAGGUACCGCAUGAAUAAGGACCGGCUAAUUCCGUG
This 490-nucleotide ribosomal RNA is filed under the name uncultured bacterium. Its description in RNAcentral is "partial 16S ribosomal RNA". It matches the Rfam family "Bacterial small subunit ribosomal RNA", at positions 28 to 507 of the family's 1533-position model. The record is from RNAcentral.